RNAcentral lists this unclassified non-coding RNA (310 nucleotides) under plant metagenome. RNAcentral describes it as "partial contains 5.8S ribosomal RNA, internal transcribed spacer 2, and large subunit ribosomal RNA". The stretch from base 1 to 105 matches the Rfam family "5.8S ribosomal RNA", at positions 50 to 154 of the family's 154-position model. The record is from RNAcentral.
GAAAUGCGAUAAGUAGUGUGAAUUGCAGAAUUCAGUGAAUCAUCGAAUCUUUGAACGCACAUUGCGCCCCUUGGUAUUCCAUGGGGCAUGCCUGUUCGAGCGUCAUUUGUACCCUCAAGCUCUGCUUGGUGUUGGGUGUUUGUCCCCGUCUCCGCGCGUGGACUCGCCCCAAAGUGAUUGGCAGCCGGCGUACUGGUCCCGGAGCGCAGCACAUGUCGCGCAAACGAGUGCCUUGGUACGGCGGCGUCCAUAAGCCACUCUCUCACGCUCUUGACCUCGGAUCAGGUAGGGAUACCCGCUGAACUUAAGC